AGACGGUACAGAAGGAUGAGGAACUCCAAUCCUGGUGGAGGGAACUCGUGGAGGAGGGACACGGCGACAAGAAGGGUGAGCCCUGGUGGCCUAAAAUGCAGACUGUGAAGGACCUAACAGAGACAUGUACGAUCACCAUCUGGAUCGCGUCUGCUCUCCAUGCGGCUGUGAACUUUGGGCAAUACCCUUAUGCAGGGUACCUCCCGAACCGGCCCACCCUCAGCCGUCGCUAUAUGCCUGAGGAAGGUACUCCCGAAUUUGAAGAGCUCAAGCAAAAUCCUGACAAGGCUUUCCUGAAAACUAUAACAGCCCAGCUUCAGACACUUCUAGGAAUUUCGCUUAUAGAGAUCCUUUCGUCGCAUUCUACCGAUGAGGUGUAUCUUGGGCAGAGAGACACACCGGAGUGGACAGCAGAUGCUGAGCCUUUGGAGGCGUUCGAGAGGUUCGGGAAGAAGUUGGGAGAAGUCGAGGAAAGGAUUAUGAGGAUGAAUGGGGACAAGAGGUGGAUGAACCGGGUCGGGCCAGUCGAGGUGCCCUAUAUGCUGCUUUACCCUACCAGCGAAGGCGGAGUGACUGCCAAGGGAAUUCCCAACAGCGUCUCGAUCUGAACUUGUGCACGCAUGCCUGUUCUUUUCUUGUUUGUUAGUUGUUAACUGUUCCUCUGUUCUGGUAUGAAAGCUAGUGUAAGUGUGAAAUAUGAAUAACCACAAAACAAAUAUAGCAUGAAGUGUUUGUCGAGUUAUGUAGGAGUUUCAAACUUUACAUGUACAAUCGAUUGUUUUAAGGAUUGGAAAAAUGUCAGGUUGUAAAAUUCAGUAAGGAACCUCAGGUUCAACCUCCAACAUGUUCCUUUUUUUCUUCCUUAGCAAGUUCGUGAGCUAUAAAUGAGUUUCAUCUUCUUUUUUCUGAUCUAUAUCGAUCGCAUAAGUUAACCAUCUAGGCUACAUGCUCAAUCGGAUGGUUUGAUUUUGCAGGCACAACAAUUUAGGUGAUGAUCGUUAUAGUCAUCUCGCUCUCCUAGAACCCUUAAAUUGUCAAAUUCGGCCUAUGUUUCCAAUCUUCGAAGCAGACCUUCAUGUUUUGGAACAUUAUGGUGAAUGAAAAGCCUUCCUUGCUGUGUGUAAUAUGGGGAAAAUUACGAGAAAACUCAUAAAUUUAUUGCACUUUAAUUAAUUGAGUCCUAAAUCUUUUAAUUGUGUCAAUUGAGUGCUAAACCUUUUCAUAUUUUGCCAAUUGAGUUUAUCCAAUCAAUUUUGAUUGUAAUUUGUUAAAGUGGACUCAAUUGAUAUAAUUAAAAUUUUUAAUACUAAAUUGGCAUGGGUAAUUUUCCCAUGUAAUUUGAGUUUUGGCUUAGCGAGGCCAAAUAAGUUAUGCAACAUCUCAAAUCCUCGACCAUGUAACUUUAAGCAAAAUAAGGCUUCAUUGGUUUUGCGGAAGGUAGUUUUGGAAGAAAAAUAAGUUUCAACAUUUGGUCAAAUGGAAAAGCCCAAUGUUAGUGUCCACUAGCAUUAGGCUUUUAGCUUUCCCCAAGUCAGUUUUCACUUGAAGGCUCAUUCAAAAUAGUUGUCAAAUAGUUUAGUAUUUCCCUAAAGGACUUUGGAGGCUGAAAGCCCUUUGAGAUUACUGAACCAAAUGCACCUUGACUUGUUCGGUAGAAAUUGAUGUGUAACUGCUAGUGCCUCGUUUCAUGAAAAAGAAUAAUUUAGAAAUAUAUAUAUAUAUAUAUAUAUAUAUAUAUAUAAAAUAAUCACUUAUACAUACAAAAAUAAAUGACUGAAAGAAAGAUAUUUUCAUCGUUCACGCAAAUAUAAAUAUAAAAUGUUAUCGAUAAUAAAAAUAAUAAAAUUUACUUCAAGCAAUUAAUUUUAGGAAUUUGUUUUUAAAUCAUUCAUUUUCUAUGAAAUAAAUGAAACUUGUAUAAGUGUCGGUUGGUGCUAUUGCUGUUUCUUUCCAGUUUAAUCGCCCUAGUCAUCAUGGGAUAGCAGUCUGACUUCUUCAAAGUCCACGAUUCAUUUGCCCUUACGCUAGGAUUCAUAUUUCCUUAAAAGAUUUUGAAACCUCAUAGCUAUAUCUCUCUCUUCCAUACAUGCUCUUGGGACCUCUAAGUAAUGUCCACAGGGGAAGUUUCUUUGGUUGCCUUUCCGACCCUUUUUACUCUAAAAAAAUCGAUAAAAGGGAUAAUGACUCAACCAAUAUCCGAACUUUUGUCCAUCUUACCAUCAAGUAUCUAAACUUUUUCUUUGUUUAAUCAAGUACCUUAAUUAUUUAAAUUUGGCUAAAUAUAAGGUCUCCAGAAAAAAAAAAUUUGUCAUGUCAUGUGAUUUAGCUUACAUAACUCGCUUACUUGAUCAAAAUUAUGUCAUCUCCAUUUAGAUAUGAGUUGACGAGGAAAUAGAGAUAUAGAAUGUUACUUGAAUGACUUUAGUAGAAUGUUACUUGAACGACUUUAGCCGUCCAACGUAUCUCUAUUGAUGUGACAUCAUUUCACAAAAUCAUAUCAUGUAUGUUGUUAAAACUAGUCUACUGGUAUUAUAUCCAAUUUGCUUCUUUUUUCUUCUUGUUACGAUUUUAACCGAUGUCUCACGCUGACCCAAACUUGAGAAGUUGAGGUACUUGAUUGAACCAAAAAAUAAAUAAAUUGAUACUCAAUUGUAAAACAAGCAAAAAUUCAGAUGCUUUGGUACCAUUACUUCUUAAAAAAAUAAUUAUAAUAAUUGUACUUAAUUAUGCGAAUUCCACAUUCUAGGAAAUAAGGUUCUCACUUUCUCUUCUUCCAAAAAUUUGGUAAAGAUUCAUCACCGUCAUGGUACAUAAAAAUGUGUAUACUUUGAUGAUAGCAUGUAGGUUGUGUUUUUCAUCAGUUUAAAAGGUCACGGAACAUAAUCGAUUAAAAUCUAACGGUUGAGACUGCGCUAGGAUGGGAGAGAAGAGAAGGGGGUCACGGUAAGAUCCUGUCUCAACGAAGCCAGUCGGGUAACCCUUACUUUCACAGGAGCCUUUGUAGUCUGUUGGUUUGAUUUACAAGGAUGACAGACUUCAAGGAUGUAUUUCUUAUUUUAACGUGUUUGUAUCCAUAUGUCCCGUGUCCCUAAUUGGUAUAAUAUGUUUUUCUUACUCUAUAUUCAGCAAUAUCCUCUAAAUGUAUUGCAUCUAGGUGAUCUUGAAAUCUAGAUGAGAAAUCAAAUGAAACUUUUUAAGGGGUUGUCUAGAUUCAUAACUUUGAAAGUCAAGUCAACGGAACUAAGGCCCUGUUUGUUUAAAUCUGUUUUUGUUCCUCAUAUCACAAAUUUUUGUUCCAGGGAAGGAAAAAAGAACAAAAACGUGUUUGUUUACACUUUUAUUUCCAGGUACAAAAAAUCUAUCCUUUUGUUCUUGAGAACAAAUUUAGAACAAAAACAAGAAAUUGAAAAAACUUGUUUCUUAUUCCUGGAACAAUUCCUAGAAACACAAAUUUUUUUUCUUCUUUUUGAAUAGAAUUGUUACCAAACGCAUUCUAAUUUAAUGCCGAGUGUACUGAUAUUCCAAGAACUCCAGACCAAGCAACGAAUAAAAAGUCCUUCAUAAAAAGGACCAGCCGGCAUCCAGAGGAUGUAGCAAAAGCUUGGUCAUGUUGAGAAAAUCAGAGAGACGCGACAGACGUGGUCUCAAUCCAUGUCCGGACCCGACGAGCUUGGGGAGAUCAAUGAUAGGACGGUCGCGUGAUAAGAUAGGGAUUUUGAACCAAAAGCCACCCGAAAAAAAUAGACUUGAUUUCACAAAAUACGUUUUAUUCUUAUACAAUACAUUUUAUAGACGGUCUCCAUCCAUCUCCAUACAUUUUAUUUCAAAAAAUGAUAGAUUUUUGUAUAAAAGUUAGCGAACCAAAAGCCACCCGAAAUACGUUUUAUUUCAAAAAAUAGACGGUCUCCAUCCAUCUCCAUACAUUUUAUUCUUAUACAAUAUGUUUUCGAGAUUCAAAAAACGUGAGAUUUUUGUGGAAUUGUCAACUGUUUUAAAAUUUUAAAUUUGAGAAAAUUCCAAAUAAGAACUUGAAGUGAAUAUAUUUUCUCAAAUAAGAACUCAAAGUGAACUUUGUAUCAAAUAAAUACUCGAAAUAGACCCAUUGUUUCAAAUAAGGAUCCAAAGUGAAUUUUGUGUCAAAUAAGAACCUGAAGUGAUCAAGUUAAUCUCUAUUGAAGACCUUAGCUCGCUGGUAGACAUUUUCCGGUGAUUAAAAUAUGGGCAAUUUUGUCAGAAAUUUGUGAUUGGAAAAAAGGGAAAAUUCUAAAUUAAUUAAGUUUAGGUUAUUCAUUUAAAUGUUUACGUUUUCUUCUUUCUUCUCCUCUGCUACUCCUCAACCAAAUCGCUGCCCAGUCAUCGUCGUGACUCAAUUCUCGUUGCCCCUUGCCUUACUUGACUAGCGGAGAAUUUGGGUCUCCAUAAACAAAUAAAGAAGCAUAUGGUUUUCUUCUUUUUUUGAAUUCGUGCCUCAACCGGCAGAGAAUUUGGGUCCUCAACUUUGUGGGGGAUGGGUACAAGGAAUGGGAAGACCGUAGAAAACCUAGGGUUUUUUGUUUCUAUUUUAAGAUUUGUUAAUUUUCCCUAGAUUUUUUUUUGGGGACAAAAUUGCCCAAACUCUGGUCGUCGAAAAUGCUGCAUACUUAAUAGCUGGUGAAUAUUUGGCUGGCCAGCAGGCUUAGGUCCUUAUUUUGAAUUGAUUCAACCACUUAGGGUCCUUAUUUAAGACAAUGGGUCUAUUUUAAGUCUUUAUUUGAUACAAAGUUCAUUUUGGAUCACUAUUUGAGAAAACUGAUCCACUUCGAGUUCUUAUUUGGAAUUUUCCCUUUAAACUUUUAGAUGAAUCCAUGAUUUACUUUUGUAAAUAGGAAUUUGGAAAGAUUAAAAUCGGGACUUCCUACUCUGUUACUACGUUAAAUUUAGUGAGAUCACUACUGAUUAUUUUAAAAGUUUAAACUUUUAGAUGAAACCAUAGUUUAAUAUUUAAUUAUACUAAUAGAAAGUAUUAGAAUAUUUGAAUGAUAAACAAUGCAUUUAUCUAAUAGUUAGUUUUUAGAAUAAUUGUCAAUGAUCUCACAAAAUAAGAGGUCCUAAGUUCAAAUCUUUUUAUGUCUCAUUCCCCCAGUUAAAUCUGUGCACUACAUUAACACUAAUUUAAAAGACUAGAUUAAGCGUGAGGGGAAGCGAUAGAAUAUUUUUAAAAUAUUUGGUAUUGAUUUUAUUUCUUUUGCUAAUGAAAUUAGAAUUGACACCUCAAACCAAGUCAUUGCACGUGUGGAUGCAGUCUCGAGUUCGACCUACCUCGUGUUGAGGUCACAAAAUCCACCAUUUGGCAAAACCUCUAAAGAAUCUAAAAUAAAAUGUUAGUUAGCUAAAACUGUUGGGAUAUAAUACGCGGAAACGACAUAAUCUUGCAAUUUAUCAACGUGAAAUCGCCAGAGAAAUAAAUAAGAAAAAUAAGGACACCAGAAAUUUACGUGAUUCGGUCCGAGUAGUGGUACCUACAUUCAUGGGGAGAACCAGUAACAAAUAAUCCACUAUAAUUGGAGUAUCAGAGUUUACAAUCGCUCAAACGUCCAAGUAUUUCUCACACUUAGAUUUAACCAAAAACCCAAAGUAUUUAUAAAUAAACAACUCACGGCACAAAAUUACUGUGCGUUCAUGGGGAGAACCAGUAACAAAUAAUCCCCUAUAAUUGGAGUAUCAGAGUUUACAUAUGCUCAUCCUCCUCCUCCUUAGUCUAUGGUGAUAAUUUAUAGUUUAAAGUGAUUUGCUAAAGGUGUACUUACAGAUUUUGCCGACUGCAUAUUAAAAUGUGUUACGAUUUUCUCAAUAUAUUUCUUAUGAGAUAGACGUAAAACUCCUACAGUCCUGCCACGCAAAAUCUCCAUACCCAAUAUUUUCUUUGUAGCACCUAAAUCUUUCAUCUCAAAUUCAACAUUUAAUUCCCUCUUCAACACAUCAAUAUCAGACAUAUUCUUAGUUGCUAUCAGCAUAUCAUCAAUAUAUAAGAGUAGAUAAAUAAAAAAAAAAACCAUUCUCUAAUCUCCUAUAAUAAACGCAGCUAUCCAUCUGACUUUUUGUAUAGUCUUGACUAGUUAUGAAAGCAUCAAAAUGUUUAUAUCACUGCCAAGAAGACUGUUUCAGCCCAUACAAAGAUUUCUUUAACAAGCAAACAUAAUCUUCCUUACCCGGAAUAGCAAAUCCUUUUGGUUGUCUCAUGUAAAUCUACUCUUCCAACUCACCGUGAAGAAACACAGUUUUUACAUCUAAUUGCUUUAACUCGAGAUCCUGCGAAGCAACUAAGGCAAGUAAAACACGAAUAGAAGUAUAUCUUAUCACAUGAGAUAACACCUUAUUGUAGUUAAUGCCCUCACGCUGUGUAUAUCCCUUCGCCACAAGUUUCACCUUAUACCUUGCUGCCUCGACACUGGGAAUGCCCUAUUUUUUUGAAGACCCAUUUACUUCUGACAAUCUUUUGGCUCUUAGGUACUUUGACCAGCUCCCAUGUCUAAUUUCGAUGAAGCGAUUCCAUCUCUUCACUCAUAGCCCCUAACCACUGCGAUGACUUCGAACUAGCCAUCGUUUUAGAGUAAGACGAAGGCUCAUCUGUCUCCACCUCAUCACCUACAUUCUAUGUAUAAGCAAUAUAUGUAUAACCAUAACGUAUCGAAAAUUUAGUUUGCCUUCUCUGUCUAUCUAUGGUUAUAGUGUGCUACGGUUUUACUGGUUGUUCACUAUCACCAACUUCAUAAACUAUGGUCUCUUAUAAAGUCUCAAUUUCUAUUACCUUUGAGGUCUCUAGAGCCUCCACCUAAUGCUCCACCUCACUAAUGACACCAUGAUCUGUCUUCUCUGUUGGUUGUGUCUCAGAACUCCUCUGUUGAAGGAUUGCAGUCUCGUCAAAGAUCAUAUCUCUGCUGAUUAGAAAACCGGGUGAUCUGGGAUCAGUGCACCACAGCCGGUAGCCUUUCACCCCAUGUGCAUAAUCAAGAAAUAUGCUCUUCUUUGCCCUCGACUCAAGCUUACCAUCACUCGCAUGAGCAUACACGAGACAUCCGAAUAUACAUAAUCCGAAAUAAUCAACAGGUUUCCUCGACCAUACUUCCUCAGGAGUCUUCCACUCGAUAGCAGAUGAUGGGGAUCGAUUAACUAGGUAACAUGCCAUGUUCACUGCUUCGACCCAAAAUUUCUUGCCAAGUCCUGCAUGUGAAAGCAUGCACCAAGCUCGCUCAAAUAAAGUUCUGUUUUUCCGUUCUGCUACGUCAUUCUGCUGUGGUGUCCCAAGUAGUGCAGUGUUUUAUAAUACAUUAUUUCUCGUAGAACUCGGUAAAAUAUUUACCACAGAACUCUAUGCCAUUAUCAGUUCUCAGGCACUUGAUUUGUUUAUCUAACUGUUUUUCAAUCAAUUGCUUAAAUUUCUUGAACCGAUCAAAAACAUCAUAUUUGUGCUUUAGAAAAUAAACCCACAUAUUCCUCGAAUAGUCGUCGAUAAAAGUCGGCACAUAUCGGGCACCUCCUUUCGAAGGAACCGAAUUCGGGCCCCAGACGUCUAAAUGAAUAUAUUCAACUAGUUGUUUGGUCGAAUGAAUAGCUGUAAUAAACUUAACUCGGUGCUGCUUCCCAUAGAUGCAGUGCUCACAUAAGUCCAGCUUUCCUGUCUUUUGACCCUUCAACAACCCUCUUUCACUCAGUGUCAUCAUACUUAAAUACCUCACGUGCCCCAAACGCAUAUGCCAUAACUGAGUCAAGUUAGAGUUUGACUCACCUGAUGAAACUGCAGCGGUUCCGGUCACAGUCUCUCCCAGUAGAUAAUAGAGAGUAUCCACUUUCUUUCUCUUUAUUACUGUCAUGGCAUCUCGAGAGAUCUACACCCGAUGUCAUCGAGUGUCCCCAGAGAAAUAAUGUUCUUUUUGAGCUCUGGUAUAUGCCUAACAUUUGUCAAUGUGCACACCACCCCAUCAUACAUCCAAAUCCGAAUUAUCCCUAUCCCCACAGCUUUACAAACUGCAUUAUUUCCCAAAAGAACUCUACCACCAUCUGCAGCUUGGUAAGUAGUAAACUAGUCCUUAUGAGGCGUCAUAUGAUAAGAACACCCCCAAUUUAGUACCCAUUCGUCUCCUGACGAAGUAGCAGUUACACAUAAAACAACUUUUGCAUGACUAUUGCUCCAUUCGACAAUGUUUGCCACACUACUUUUGGCAUUCUGCCUAUUAACUUUAUUUCUUCGUUUUAGACAAUCUCUCCCAAUGUGCCCCUCCUCGUGACACUCAAAGCACUUCACGCGUCCCUUGGACUUUCUAUGGCGUGAUUUCGAUAUGCUUUUACCUCUACUGCUACUAUGCCAUCGAUGUUGUUUUUUACCCGAAUCGUGAGUGCUUACGCUACUCCUUGUGCCAGACCGUCAUCUCGCAACUUUCUCUGCCAUUCCUUAGAGAGUAAGGCAGACUUACCUCUUCUGAGGUAAUUGUAGUACGCUCCUGCAACAGUGAAUCAGUAAAGUGCUCCCAUGACUGGUAUAGAGGCUAACAACAUCAUACCAUGUUCUUCAUCAUCAAGUAUAUUACCGACGUUCUUCAGAUCCAACAUAAGUUUAUUAAAUUCAUCUAGAUGGGUUCUGAUAGACGUACCUUCAGUAUAUGUAAAUUGAAACAUCUUCUUCAACAUAUAUGAGCGAUUGUUCAAACAUUUCUUCACAUAAAAUGCUUGAAGUUUUGCCCAUAAUGCUACGACAUUCUUCUCCUUAGAAACCUUUAUUAAGAGGUCAUUCGACAAAUUUAACAAGAUUGUACUCUUUGCUUUUUCCAUUAGCUCUAUCCUCGCAGAGGCUUUCAUUAUAAUAGGCAACUCAUCUUCACCAUCUAGUGCCUUGGCCAAACCUUGUGUUGUCAAUAAUGCUCGCAUCUUGAUGCUCCAUAACACAAAGUUGUUACUCUCGUUAAACUUUUCAAUUUCAGAUUUCUUUUUAAACAUAAUUGUAGUAACAUAAUUUCCAGAUAAUAAUUAGAAAAGCAAAAGUUCCAAAUCACAAUCAAGAAAUCCAACCUCAAGCUCUGAUACCGGAAAUUUACAUGAUUCGAUCCGAGAAUCGAUACCUACGUCCACGGGGAGAGCCAAUGGGGGUAAAUAAUCUACUAUAAUCGGAGUAUUAGAGUUUAUAAUCGCCCAAACGUUCAAACGCUCAAGUGUUUCCCAUACCUAAAUUUAACCAAAAAAUCAAAGUAUUUAUAAAUAAACACCCUCAUGGCACAAAAUUACCGCGCGUUCAUGUCGUAUGCAAAAAAGAAAAGAUUUUUAGCUUCCUCGUGUAGCUCCUCUCUCUCUCUCUCGGCGGCGUGCAGCUUCUCGCGGAUCGUUGUAUGUAGGGCUUUUUCUCUCGCGGCUCCCUUCUACAUAAAAACUGCAAGGAUGAAAGGGAAACCCUCCUUGAGAUUUCAGCACUUUAUACGUGCGCCCAAGGAGAAAAGUAUUUGACUGGGCCCACUUAUUGCUUCUUUCUUCGGCGUAGACGUCAUGUGUGUGUGCCCAAGGUCAAAUUUGACCUUGGGCACACCACAUAACAAACCAGCGCCUAUAUGGAAUUUUGCUUCCUUUUUAUCUCUUCCGAUGAAGUCAUCUUUUUCUCUUAAAGAUAAAUAGAAAUAUAAGACCUGAGCAGGUCUUUAAACUGCUCCCCCCUGAAUAGAAGAUCCCGGGGGGACUCCUCCUCACAAGCCAUUUACAGGCAAGUGAGGGGAGAGUAUUAAGGGAUAAGCUUCCCAUUGGGAAAGUGUGCCCCUUUUAUCUUGUAGUGGUAAAUCACAUCCUCUUUUGUGUAGCUUGAAGAAGUCCAGCGAAUUGCAUUUUGUAAACGCUCAAACUUGAAACAUAAUUUAACAGAAACAAUAUAAUAUUUUUAAAAUAUUUGACAGUGAUUUUAUUUCUUUUGCUAAUGAAAUUAGAACCGACACCCUAGACCAAGUCGUUGCACGUGUCGAUGCAGUCUCGAGUUCCACCCUCCUUGCGUCGAGGUUACAAAAUCCACUUUUUGGCGAAACCUCUAAAGAAUUUGAAAUAAAAUGCUAGUUAGCUCAAACGUCCCCCAAAAGCUUAAGUCAAGCGUGUGAUCCGCGAGAUUGCUAUAUUAUUUAUUUAUUUAUUAAUUUUUUUUUUUGCGGGGCUAAUCGGACGUAUUCAUAGUCAAUCCGGUAGUUCGAUUUUCCUGCACUGACAAAAGAAGAUGCUUCGGUGCACUGCCUACUCGUGGGAGUCGCCAGGAAGCAAUCGAUCCUGGGGCUUAGCAUUAGAUUAUUGCCGCCAUCAAUUUUUCACGGUACCUAAAGUCCAAAUGAUUAAAAAAUUUUUAAUUUAACUUAAUUUAGGUAUAGUACAUAAAUGGCCCCACCCAAAAAAACAAAAUAAAAUCUAUUGUACAGUUCUGUAGCUGUUCUAAUGAGAUAGCUAGUACUUGGUAUUACGUAUUUCGAUUACCGACUAAAUUGCGCCUUCGUUGGUCAAAGUUGUUAUAUAAAAUAUGUUUAUUCAAAACAUAUGGGGCUAAUUCGAUUGGUUAAAAUGUUUUGUUGCCCGAAAAUUAAAUUAGAAUGCUUGCAAGGAAUUCCUUUCUUUAUUGUUUCGUGUACCAUGCUAUGUUAAUUGAUUUGAAUGCCAUGCGAACUAAAUUGGUAGAGGGUCACGAAUCACGUGGUCAACAAAGAGCACGCACGUGUGCAUUUGUUUAUUGAUCCUUCUUUGUGGAGUAAUUCGACAUGACUUGUCUAACUUAUGCACAUUUAAUCAUAAACUAAACAUAAUUCAUUGUUUUUUUGUUAUUGUGACUAGGAAAAAAAAAUACCUACCCUUAAAUUUUAUAAUGGAUUUAGAUGUGAUGUUUUAUCUUUCUUUUAUAGAUUUGAAAGACAAGACGAGAGAUAUAACUCUUGCAUUGAAACUUGGAAAAAUUUAAAAAAAAGACCCAAAGUGUCAUUAUUUUCUCAAAUAAAAACUCGAAAUCGACAUUCUUUCACAUAAGGAUUUGAAAUGACAUUGGUUGUUUCAAAUAAGAGAUCGGAGUGACUUUAGUUAUUUCAAAUAAGGGCCUCAUCUCGCUGGUCGUCGACCAACUAAAUUUUCCGAACAGUGAAAGGUAAUUUUGUCAUUUUUCAUUUUCUCCUCUUUUUUUUUUUUAUUCUUUUGGUUCUUUUUCUUCCUCUUCACUAGCAGUCGGCCAGCCAUCGAUGAUGCCCACAAGGGGUUGGGUGAAGGUUGCCCUCGCCGACAAAGGCCACCCACACUGGCCACAGGCGAGGGACAGCUUUGCUUGGGCAAGGCGACCCUCGCCCUGGGGCCAUCUGCGAGGUCAGCCCUCGGCGCCCCAAGCAAGGCCGACCCUUGCCAAGUCUGCGAGGGUGACCUCACCUGCGGUUAGCAAGGGCUGGGUGACUUUGUCGACCGCUGGUACAGGCCGACAAGGACCUGCAAACCCUUACUUGGGGUGAGCGAGGCCAAUCCUUUCUAGACCCGCGGCUAACGAGGACUUGCAAGCCCUUGCUAGUUGCUCUGGUGAGGGUUGACCUCACCUGCCCUAGGCAAGGGCUCGACCACCCUCGCCAGUAGGCGAUGACUGACGAGGUCAUCUAGCCCUCACUUGGCCUAGGCGAGGGUUUGACCACCCUCGCCAGCGAGCAAUGACUGAUGAGGUCGCCCAGCCCUCGCCUGCCGUGGGCGAGCCACCUUCGCCAGAUUUGGAGAGGGUCGGCCUCACUUGGGGCCAAUGAGAGCCGACCUCGCGGAUGGCCCUAGGGCAAGGGUCGCCUUGCCCAAGGGAGGCCAUCCCUCGCCUGUGGCCGGUGUGGGUUAUCCUUGCCAGCGAGGGCGACCCUCGCCCAGCCCUCUGUGCGGCAAAGUGGGUGAAGAAGAACAAAAAUUUAAAAGGAAAGAAAAAAUAAAAAUAAAAACUAAAGAAAAAAAGGAAAAUAACAAAUGAUGAAAAUGCUCCUCAUCGCCAAAAAUUCAAGUCCUUAUUUGAAACGGAUAUAGUUACAUCAGGUCCUUAUUUGAAAUAGACAUAAUCACUUUAAGUCCUCAUUUUGCUCCGUUCGUUUCGCGGAAAAUAACUUCCAGGAAAAUAUUUUCCUGAAUUUCCGGUGUUCGGUGGAUGGAAAAUUCAUGGUCAAGGAAAAUAUUUUCCGGUCAACGGAAAAUUCUCUCUUGACUUUGAGGAAAAUGUUUUCCUCUUUUGAAAAGAGGAAAACAUUUUCCUAGCCUCUCACGCUCCCCUCACGCUCCCCUCGCGCUCCUUUUUCCUUUUCAUUUUUGCACUCUCGCUUAGGGUUUCUGAUCUCCUCCUCCUCCUUCGACGCCGACGAUGGGCGAAGCAUCCCUCGUUCUCCACCCUCCCCGGCCGCUCCUGCCCGUCUGCUCCGGCCACGGCGCCGCCGCCGCCGCGGCGCUCCAUUUCCCCGGCGGUUCGAAGCCGCUCGGGAGCUCGCGGCUAAGAUGAGCUCGCAGUUCGAAGCCGCUCGGGAGCUCGCGGUUGUUUGUGGUGAUGCGAUGAGGUCGCGGAUCAAGCGGCGGAGCUCGCGGCUCGCCGAUCCAGGCGAGCUCGAGCUCUGUCGCCAGAUCCGGCGAGCUCGGGUGAGAUCGGCCGAGCCUCGAGCUCGCCGGAUCUGGCCACCGGGUCUUGGUCGGCCGCUGGGCAGCCGGCCAUCGUCAGGUAGGAAGGAGGUGGCGGCGGCGGAAGGAGGAGGAAGAAGGAGGAGGAAGGAGGCGACGGCAGAGGAAGGAGGAAGAAGGAGGAGGAGGAAGGAGGAAGGAGGAAGGAGGAAGGAAAAGAAAAAAAUAAAAAUAAAAAUUUCGAUUUUAAAAAUAUAAAUAAUUAAAAAAUCAUUUUAAAAAAAUAUAAAUAAAAAAAAUUGGUCAUUUAAAAAUAUUAAAAUUCAAAUUUUGAUAAAUUUUACCAAAUAAUUAAAUGAGCUAACGAAUGGUGGAAAAUAUUUUCCACUGAAAUUUUAGAUUUUGGCCGAACACCGGAAAAUAGAGUCAUUUUCCUGGAAAAUGACUUCCAGGAAAAUAUUUUCUGGAAACAUGAUAUUUUCCGCGAAACGAACGGAGCCUUAAUACAAGAUCCAUUUCAAGUCCUUAUUUGAAAAAAUGAUUAUACUUCAUGUCUUUAUUUGAAACAAGGUCCAUUUCGGGCACUUAUUUAAGAAAAUGAAAGCACUCCGGGUCCCUUUUUGAGAUUUUCCAUUGAAACUUUGAUUUGUUGAAAAGCUCAUUAUGAUGUUAGAGCAUGAAAUCUUUCUUUACCUUACAAUUAUAUUUUCUCGCCCUUCAACCCUGGUCAGAUCCCAAUCUAACCAUUUGAUCAAGUCAUCGUAUAAUAUCUAAAUCUUACAAAAAAAGGAAAAAAGAAAAAGGAAUCAUAAUGGAUCCAUUACAUACAUGAGAUUGGCUGUGCAUGUGCUAGAGAUUGUGUGCAUGCAUGUAUUUAGGAAAAGAAAAAAAAAUGAAAUAAUUACAUAGACGAGAGGAACACAUGGAAUAGACGAUUUGGCAUUCUAUCCCUCUUCCUGAAAAAGAAAGUUAAAUGUAAGAAUUUCGCGAGAGGUCGCUGGAUGUAUAAUAUCAUGUUAUGUGAUCAACGAAGUGUCUAAUCGGCUCUCAUUCAAAUGGAUACAUCUGGACAGAAGAGACAACUCGAGACGGAAGAUAAGAUGACCUUUUACCAAAGGUGAGCAUUGGUAUCAUUUGUCAAGCUUUCAAGCUUUUUGUCAUUUCGGAUAAUCUCAACGUGUCAAGAACGAAUAUAAUUGACGCAAGAUAACCCGAGGAUUAAGGCAACGCCACCAAGAUUCAAAGCAAGCCGCGUGCUAAUCACUUCACUAAUCCCUUAAUCAUCACCAAAUCUUCGCGGGUCGUCUUCCCUAAAUGGGUCUUGGGUAACCAUCGUUGAAUCAGCGCGUGGAUGAACGCGCCAUCUCCACAAGAUUUGGUCUAUCAAUUCAAGCAAAACCAACUCAAUUUCUCUCCUCAUUUAAGAAAAGAAGAUGGGAAAAAAUCUAUAAAAAAAAAAGUAUUAUUUAACGAGUGCCUAAGAUACUAAUCAUUCAAUUAGAUGAGAAAACUUAGGUUUUGAAGAUUAUAAGGCUACGUGUGGUCAUCUAAGAAUCUUAUUAGAAUAGGAGUGGAUAGAAUACGAUAUAAUUUAGAAAUUUUGCUAAAUUUUAUUUACCCUUUAGUGAAUUGUAGUAAUAAAUCCAGAUAUUUUUAUAUCCUAUUUUAUCCAUUGUUUGAUAUGAAUAAUAUAUCAAUAUAAAUGAAUUUGAAAAUGUACAAACGAAAAUAGUAAGAAUUUCUCAUGAGUCACUACUAAAGAAAUCACAAGUGCAAAAACGGAGAUGACCUUUAUCAAUCAAUUCAUAAUUACCGUAUCAUCUACAUUAUGAUUUACAUAUUAAACAAAGAAAAGAGCUCAUUGCAGCAUUCUAAAGCCACAUGUUUGACAAUGACAAGAAAUGUAAAUGGACUACAACAACAUCGACUAGGUAGAUCAACUAGAAAAGUCAAAUCUAAUAAAGGAGAGAAAACAUGAUUAUUCAUUUUCGUGAUUUGGAAAAGUAUAGUAUUUUGAUUCUCUUGCCACUUUUGUGAAAUUCCAACAUGAAUUAUAAAUAUAUAUAGAAUAUAUAUUAUAGAAUAUAAAGAAAUUCAAAUAUACAUAAAUAGGAAUAAAUAACAAAAUUGUCCAUUAUUUUCUUUUUUUUGAUUUUUCUUUUUUAUAUUAGAAUCCAAAUAUUAUUCAUAUUUUAAUUUUUUUAAUCUAAAGUUUGUUAUUCGACAAAAAUAACUUUUAUGCCAUGAAUAUAAGAAAUUCUAACCACAUUUAUCAUAUUUCUUCCAUAGGUAUCUUUGUGAAGGCUGUAUCUACUUUAUGUAUGAUUUUAUCUUAUCUUGGGUAAGAGCUAAAUACUGGAUAUGAUAUAUCCUAUCCCAACUACCAAAUGUUGGCUAACUUCUUUUGCUCUACAGAUCAAAUAUUUCCUGUUGAGUAUACAUGACAAUACGUCCUUGAGAUCGAGAGAAAGGGAAAAGAGGAGAAAGGAAAGAAAUUCCAGGUCUCCCAUAAAGAAGGGAAGCUUCUCGGUGACGCCGUAGCGUCGGACUUUUCCUGAUAAAUACCCUCCAUCGCAACGCAUACGCUUCUUCAUUCUUUUCACAUACCCAUCCUUCUUUUCCUUUCACCCGAUCAGCUUCGCAACAAAGGUUUCAAUCAAUCCUCCGGAAUGGAUAAGCUGUUUCAUGGGAUGCUGCGUGCCUUCGACUGUGGUGACAAAGCGGGCCGCCGGCGCAAGGCGGACAGGUCCAAGAAGGUCAAGGGGACCGUGGUGCUGAUGAAGAAGUACGUCUUGGACUUCAACGACUUCAACGCGUCGGUCCUUGACAACGUCGCCGAGCUGUUGGGUAAGAAGGUCUCUCUGCGACUCGUGAGCGCCGUCCACGGUGAUCCCGGUGAGUCAUGACCCUCUUCCUCGCUAUCUUCUUGUCGUUCAUUUGUGGAACAAGUUCUUUCAAUGGCUUUUCUUGGUACUAGACUGUGCUGUACAUUUCUGUUGACAAAAUCUGAUGAAUGGCAACAAAUUAAACUGUUUGUCAUCAUGACAAGCGAUCUUCUUCCCCACAAAGAAUAGGAAAUAGUAAGUAUUUCACAUAACUUGCAUAUCUCAACUUUUUGCUUAUAUUUCAAGAAAGUGUAACAUAUGGAAUGAGGUCUCGAGCCUAGCCUUGAUAGACCUUGGUCCGGUCUCAAUGGACUCGUGCUCAAGCAUUAGAGACCUGGUCCUAGCCUCGAUGGACACAAGUUUGAUGGACCUAGCCUAGGUAUUGGAGACUUGGGAACUAGCAUUGGAGUUUCCAUGUUUAAAUGUAAAGUUUUGGGUUUAAGCGCCAAUACCUAAUCAUAUUUUGGAAAAUAUUUUUUAAUAAAAUGAAAUUAUUUUUUUGAAAUUUAAGCCUAGUUUUUCAUUAGGAAAACAUUUUUCACUGACUCAUUUUCUUAAGCAAAUUGUAUGUAGCAAAAUGAGGAAAAUGUUUUCUUGAAAAAGAUUUUCUAGAAUCACGAAUUGUUUUCCUCAAUUCAGUCCAAAUUUUAAAAUAGACAAAAGUAAAAUCUUCCUAUUUGUUUUGGAACGUUUUGAAUCUUCCACUCACGCUUUAUUUUAUUCUAUUUAAAUUUACUUUUUAAUUAAGAAAAAGCUUAAAUCAAUUUCCGGUUUUCUUCCGCCGAUCGAUAUCCCAUCCCAUAGCCAUAUAUCUAGCCUUUAUCGUUUAGGCUCCUUUUAUUUAGCAUUUUUUUUUCAGGAAUAUAUUUUCCUCAUUUUUCAGCUUUUGGUUUACUUAAGAAAAUAAGUUAACGAAAAUUGUUUUCCUGAUUAAUGGAAAACUUAUGCUAAAAUUCAGGAAAAUGAUUUUAUUUUCAAAAAUCAAAAAUCAUUUUCCAAAUAUAUGACUAGGUUUUAGCGUUUGGACCUAAAACUUUGCGUUAGAGCAUGAAACCCCAAUGCUCAUUCUUAGGUCCAUGGCAUAUGGGACUAGGUUUCCAGUGCUCGGGCCUAGUUUUAUUGAGGUUGAGCUCCAAGACCUUGGUGCUCGUGCUUGGGUCCGUUGAGGCUAGAAUUGGUAUGCGAGCGCUUGCAUCUCGAUCCUUCAAGUUUGGGCCCAAGACCAAGGUGCUCCUACCUAUGCAUCGAUCCUUGGCGCUCAGGUCGAGGUCCAUUCAAGCUGGACCAAGACUCUGGAGCUCGUACUCGGUUCCCUAUCUAUCCAUAGACAAGUUACCAGUGCUCAAAUAAUAUAUAUUUAUUUAGGAAAAUUAAAUCAUAAAUUUUAUACCAAAUGAAGGAAAAUAUUUUUCAGCUCAUUUUCAGAUUUUAGUUAAAUAUUGAAAUAUAUUGUCAUUUUUCAAGAAAAUGAUUUCCUGGAAAAUAUUUUUUAGAAAUGUUACAUUUUUCUCAAAACAAAUGGGGUCUUUGAAACAAUCAACGGUUUCCUCUAGUCAAUAGCCUGAUCUCAAGUUCUUUCUCUAUUCUUUUUUUAUUUUGUUGAAAGAAAAUUGUAUUUAUUACUCAAAAUGAUACAGAAGUACAUAGCUUUCAUUAUAAAGUAAAGCGAAACAUAGCUGAAUACUAAAAACAAAGCCAAAUCUAGAAAAACAAGGAGGACCAACGAAACACUAGCAAAAGUCAAGCACAAACUUGUUUCACAAAAAUGGAUUUGUCAAACAAAUUGGUGGCCAAUCAACAGAUCUCGUGUUUUUAUUAGUAAUGAGCACAUGCUACAAAUUUAUUCUCAAUUAAUUACGACGUUGCUAAUUAGAGGUGUGCACCUAGGUUUGGCUUCCUUUACACCAUCAUCGUACAGAAACAACUAUAAUAGGUUAAACAAACACAGGUAUAACAUGUGAAGGAGCAAAUCUUCGUAAUUCAAUGAGAAAGGAAAACUUCUGCGUACAUCAUUAAGGCUAAAGGCAAAGAACCUGUACACAAACAAAGCAGAGGAGACAUUUGAUCCCCAAAUGCAUAUUUAUUAAACUUGUAGAUCUAGAUUGGGCGAGGAUAUCAUCCAAAUCUCAAGUUCUCUAUCUUCUUUUUUCUUUUUAAUCGUUUUUGACCAAACGGAUUUCCCAUUAUUGACCGAACACAUUUCUUGAAUUAAAGUGUUUUUUUUUCCCUGCCUGGCUAUGUUUCUUGACUACGUAACGGAGCUACAACCUCGCCGUGGGUAAAGCUGGCAUUCAUUUAUGGAUGGUUGAAUGAGGGUUUUGAUCGAGAGGUGAGGUUUGCAUUGCAUCAAGCAUGAAUUGAAUAUGAUGGGCCAUUGCCAUCAAGGACGACGCACGAGUGCUCAGAUACUGUUAAUACAGAAAAGAGAAUUAGUUGAAAGAGUUCUCUUUCAGAUCGUCCAUGUAAUCCAUAGAAUGGCUCUUCGCCUAGCGUGCACCGCAACGGGAAAAGACAUCAUCUUUAAACACGAGGUGAUUUUCCUCACGUCGUGUCCUGGGACCACACCACCCAAUUAACCAAUGGUGCACGGCAUUAGCAAUUAUUGUAGUUAAUUUCUGGUUAUUGGCCAAUAAUAUAAUUAUAUAAGCUGUCAUUUGUCGCUUUUGAUUGGAAAUUUGUGCCGCAUACCGCAAGGUUGUGCUUUCUAAAUCACUUCAUUGAGCACAAGUUCGGGUCCUAGUUCUUUCCUUUUGGUUUUCAGAACAAGAUCAGGUCUUGUUUGUCCAAACGGAUCCAUUCUUGCGAAGAGAGAAGAUUAUGGAGAACAUAAUAUUAGUGGGAAUGAACUAAAAAUUGGAAACAAAAUGCAAAUGAUUUUGCGCGGAUCAUUAUCAGAUUCAGACCCUUUGCCAUGUUAAUGAUGAACGUCAUUCUCAUUCGCUGGGACAAAAAGUUCGAAAGCUUUGAAACUUCUUAUUUCUUUUUCGCGCUUUGCAGAAAAAGGUUUGCGGGGGAAAUUGGGAAAGCCUGCAUAUCUGGAAGAAUGGAUCACUACCAUCACUCCCUUAGCGGCAGGGGACUCGGCGUUCAAGGUCACUUUCGAUUGGGAUGAGGAGGUGGGAGUUCCUGGGGCGAUCAUCGUACAAAACAACCAUCACAGUCAGUUUUACCUCAAGACGAUCACACUCGAAGAUGUGCCCGGUGAGGGUCGAGUCCACUUCGUCUGCAACUCGUGGGUCUACCCUGCCAACCAGUACAAGAAGGACCGGGUCUUCUUCUCUAACAAGGUUCGAUCACAAUAAUUUGAUUGAUGAAGCUAAGCUGUAGCCGCAAUUUAUGAUUUGCUUCCAGAGUCUCAAUAGGACAAAACAAAAGACAUUGCCUCCGAUAUGAAGACCUAAAUCUUGUUUUACAUAGAGUAGGUCUAAAGAAUUAGCUGAUUGGCCAGAAAGGAGUGGCUUUUCAAACGGCCCUAGCUUCCCGAAAACAUAAUUUGUGUAGUAGAAUCUCACUUCUAGGAAUUCUCCAGGUUGCACUCUACUUUUAGCCAGUUUCAGCAUUUUGUAAGCUUUUCGAUUUCAUUGAAGUGGGGCAUUUCGCUUGGGAAUUGCACUUUAUAUUGGCUGAAGGCAUUUUAGUUUCAGACUCUGUUCUAUUCUGUCAUAUGAAAUAGCAAUAUGAAUGGACCGGGUUCCUUAGGUUGUCUCUAAUAAGAUAGCACGUUAUUGCAGACGUAUCUUCCAAGCCAAACUCCAGCGCCUCUAGUGAAGUACCGAGAGGAAGAGUUAGUUAACUUGAGAGGAGACGGUACGGCAGAGCUUCAGGAGUGGGACAGGGUGUACGACUAUGCUUACUACAACGAUUUGGGCGAUCCAGACAAGGACCCGAAGUAUGCCCGCCCUGUUCUAGGAGGAUCUGCUGAAUAUCCCUAUCCUCGCAGAGGAAGGACCAGUCGACCGCCGACUGAGACAGGUUAAAUGCACUCAUAUCAUGAAUCUCCAACUCGAAGUGAGAUUAUCAUGGUUUCAUUUUUUUUGACAAAGAUGCUUAUUUGUAAGUAUAUUUUAAUGAAUUUUCACGAUGUUAUUGAUAGAUCCGACUACCGAGAGCAGGCUGCCUCUGCUCAUGAGCCUAAACGUAUACGUUCCAAGGGAUGAACGGCUCGGCCACUUGAAGAUGUCUGACUUCGUCGCUUACACUCUAAAAGCUGUGGGUCAAUUUCUGAAGCCCGAGCUAGAGAGUAUAUGCGACAGCAUGCCCAAUGAGUUUGACUCCUUCCAGGAUGUGCUCAAUCUCUACGAGGGUGGUAUUAAGCUUCCUGACAGCCCUUUGCUGGAGAGUCUGAAGGAGAACAUUCCCCUGGAGAUGCUUAAGAUACUCGUCCGAACUGAUGGGGAAGGGCUUCUCGAGUACCCCAUGCCUCAAGUGAUCAAAGGUAAUGGUACAUAUAUCUAUGGGACCUUUUUUAUCUGAUUAGUUCGAGGCUGUUUUCCUAACGUUUAGCAAUCAUCCUGUGCAGAGAAUAAGACUGCCUGGAGAAGCGAUGUAGAAUUCGGUAGAGAAAUGCUUGCUGGAGUCAACCCUGUCAUGAUUCGCUGUCUCCAGGUAAAUAACAAUAUCUUUGAUGUUACAGCUCAGACAAAUUCAGUUAAUAUUAAAAUGAAGUGCGGAAUGGAGUUCCACCGGUUGUCUAGUUGAUUAAACAUUUUUUGUUGAUUUCAGGAAUUCCCUCCAGCAAGCAAGCUAGACCCUAAGAUAUAUGGCCACCAGAGCAGUUCAAUAAGGGAAGAGCUCAUUCAGAAGCAAUUGAAUGGAUUAACUGCCGAACAGGUACCUUCAUCGCAUCUCACAUCACUAAGAGCGUCCAUAUACUUGCUUAACAGAUGAUGGCGAGCUCAUUUAAGUUAUUAUAUCCAAAUUGAAACGAUGCAUAACAAAUGCAGGCUAUCAAGAUGAACAAAUUGUUCAUACUGGAUCACCAUGAUGCGAUCAUGCCAUAUCUAAGGCGGAUAAACACAACUACCACUAAAACGUAUGCCACUCGAACACUCCUCUUCUUGAAGAAUGACGGUACCCUGAAGCCGCUGGCAAUAGAGCUGAGCUUGCCUCAUCCCGAGGGAGAUGAAUUUGGCGCAAUAAGCAAGGUGUACACACCAGCCGAUCAAGGUGUCGAAGGUUCCAUUUGGCAGCUGGCUAAAGCUUAUGUGGCAGUUAACGACUCAGGCUAUCAUCAACUCAUCAGCCACUGGUAAAGAUUUCUGAGGAGCAUUCAACUAUAUACAAAAGGGGAAGAAAGUCUCUUUAUUUCCUGCAUAUUGAUAAUUUUCGUGAUUCUUACUGCAGGUUGAAUACUCACGCGGUGAUUGAACCAUUUGUGAUUGCAACAAAUAGACAACUGAGUGUGCUUCACCCGAUCCACAAGCUUUUGCAUCCCCAUUUCCACGACACGAUGAACAUAAAUGCAAUUGCCAGGCAGAUUGUGAUCAAUGCGGGUGGAAUCCUGGAGACGACUGUAUUCCCGGCAAAGUAUUCCAUGGAGAUGUCUUCCGCCAUCUACAAGAACUGGAUUUUCCCCGAGCAAGCGCUUCCUGCUGACCUCAUCAAGCGGUAAAUUCACUGUUCUAUACAUAUAAAUCAUCCAUAGGACUUCUAUUUAAAAUUGCUUCAAAAAGAAAGAAAAAUCAAGGCCGAGGAAGAUAGCGCAAAUGUACUUGGAAUAGCCGAUGCUCAUGCUGAGAUACAUAUCAACAUAGCUAUCGUUUGUUUUACUUGAAUUAUUCUGGUAGAAUGAGCGUGACAAAAAUGUUCUACCUUUUUCUCUCUUCAGGGGAGUCGCUGUAGAAGAUGCAAACUCCCUACAUGGCCUCCGCCUAUUGAUCGAGGACUACCCCUAUGCGGUAGAUGGGCUCGAGAUCUGGUCCGCGAUCAAGACGUGGGUUGAGGACUACUGCUCCUUUUAUUACAAGAGCGACCAGACGGUACAGAAGGAUGAGGAACUCCAAUCCUGGUGGAGGGAACUCGUGGAGGAGGGACACGGUGACAAGAAAGGUGAGCCCUGGUGGCCUAAAAUGCAGACUGUGAAAGACCUAACAGAGAUAUGUACGAUCACCAUCUGGAUCGCGUCUGCUCUCCAUGCGGCUGUGAACUUCGGGCAAUACCCUUAUGCAGGGUACCUCCCGAACC
RNAcentral lists this long non-coding RNA (21659 nucleotides) under Eucalyptus grandis. RNAcentral's name for it is "long non-coding RNA (EGRA_LNC005280)". The record is from RNAcentral. Lineage: Eukaryota; Viridiplantae; Streptophyta; Magnoliopsida; Myrtales; Myrtaceae.